AAAGAAACUAACAAGGAUUCCCUUAGUAGCGGCGAGCGAAGCGGGAUGAGCUCAAAUUUGAAAUCUGGCGUCUUUCAGGCGUCCGAGUUGUAAUCUAUAGAAGCGUUUUCUGUGCUGGACCGUGUCCAAGUCCCUUGGAACAGGGUAUCAAAGAGGGUGACAAUCCCGUACUUGACAUGACCACCAGUGCUCUGUGAUACGUUUUCUACGAGUCGAGUUGUUUGGGAAUGCAGCUCAAAAUGGGUGGUAAAUUCCAUCUAAAGCUAAAUAUUGGCGAGAGACCGAUAGCGAACAAGUACCGUGAGGGAAAGAUGAAAAGCACUUUGGAAAGAGAGUUAAACAGUACGUGAAAUUGUUGAAAGGGAAACGAUUGAAGUCAGUCGUGUCUAUUGGUUUCAGCCGGUCCCCGCCGGUGUAUUACCUUUAGACGGGUCAACAUCAGUUUUGGACGGCGGAUAAGAGCAGUUAGAACGUAGCACCUCCGGGUGUGUUAUAGCUUUCUGUUGCAUACGCUGUCCGAGACUGAGGACUGCAGCUCGCCGCAAGGCCGGGGUUCGCCCACGUUACGAGCUUAGGAUGUUGACAUAAUGGCUUUAAACGACCCGUCUUGAAACACGGAC
This 620-nucleotide ribosomal RNA is filed under the name Derxomyces sp. ZJJ-855. RNAcentral describes it as "eukaryotic LSU rRNA". It matches the Rfam family "Eukaryotic large subunit ribosomal RNA", at positions 58 to 666 of the family's 3401-position model. The record is from RNAcentral. Lineage: Eukaryota; Fungi; Basidiomycota; Tremellomycetes; Tremellales; Bulleribasidiaceae.